CCGGGAUCCGCCAUUAUAGUCCUUUCGGUGCGAUGAACUUGUGGCAGAGGUGUUGUGCCGGUGAUGCACUGCCCCUGGGGACUGCUGUGGCUCCCGCCCCUACACGGAAGGGGGGGGCGGUCGGGUAUCCGCGUCCGGCGCUGUCGGUGCCCAGCGCCCAUCGUGUAGGGCCGUGGUCUACGCAGGCUGGUCCGCUGCGCCACUAGGGUUUUCUAAGAUGCACGCCGUGUGUUAUCUUCGAAUAAAGCGUGGUUAUUGUAGAAGCCUAGCUGGGACAGUGCUCUUUCACAGAUUAGUGCGUAAUCUGAUGACUGGAGGGCUGAAGUUGGGAACUUAACCCUCCUGGAAAAGUGCGGUUGAGAUGUCUGGGUCACCUAGAUAAUGGCUCCUGCCACCUGAAGCUGUGGGCUGUGAGGAGUGAAGAGCCAUGUCCUUUCUCCCUGGCUCCUAUGGAUUUUGCUAACAGGAGGAUGUGUCCUAUCUGGUGUUGAGCAAAUCCUAGAAACUUCACCAGCUGUCCUGCAUUAACCUUUGAGCAGCUUUCAACUUACUGGAGGAAAAAACCUGCAUAGAAAUUUUGAGACACCUAAUAUAUUAUUUAGACCGUGUUGACUUUAUUGUAAUCAAAUACUUGGUUUUACCAAGGGUUGUAAUAAAAUGCUUUAGAGCAAAGUAAAA
Long non-coding RNA from Suricata suricatta (meerkat), 678 nucleotides. RefSeq lists it as uncharacterized. The record is from RefSeq and is a predicted model, not a curated record. NCBI's taxonomy places the organism in Eukaryota, Metazoa, Chordata, Mammalia, Carnivora, Herpestidae. The transcript has 5 exons.